AACGGCAUUUAGUGCUUGCACUGAAUGGACGUCGACCGGCGCACGGGUGAGUAACGCGUAUCCAACCUACCCAUUACUGUGGGAUAACCUGCCGAAAGGCAGACUAAUACCGCAUAGUCUUCGAUGACGGCAUCAGAUUUGAAGUAAAGAUUUAUCGGUAAUGGAUGGGGAUGCGUCUGAUUAGCUUGUUGGCGGGGUAACGGCCCACCAAGGCAACGAUCAGUAGGGGUUCUGAGAGGAAGGUCCCCCACAUUGGAACUGAGACACGGUCCAAACUCCUACGGGAGGCAGCAGUGAGGAAUAUUGGUCAAUGGGCGCGAGCCUGAACCAGCCAAGUAGCGUGCAGGAUGACGGCCCCAUGGGUUGUAAACUGCUUUUGUAUGGGGAUAAAGUCAAUCACGUGUGAUUGUUUGCAGGUACCAUACGAAUAAGGACCGGCUAAUUCCGUGCCAGCAGCCGCGGUAAUACGGAAGGUCCGGGCGUUAUCCGGAUUUAUUGGGUUUAAAGGGAGCGUAGGCUGGAGAUUAAGUGUGUUGUGAAAUGUAGACGCUCAACGUCUGAAUUGCAGCGCAUACUGGUUUCCUUGAGUACGCACAACGUUGGCGGAAUUCGUCGUGUGGCGGUGAAAUGCUUAGAUAUGACGAAGAACUCCGAUUGCGAAGGCAGCUGACGGGAGCGCAACUGACGCUUAAGCUCGAAGGUGCGGGUAUCGAACAGGAUUAGAUACCCUGGCAGUCCGCACAGUAAACGAUGGAUGCCCGCUGUUGGUACCUGGUAUCAGCGGC
RNAcentral lists this ribosomal RNA (785 nucleotides) under uncultured Bacteroidota bacterium. Its description in RNAcentral is "bacterial SSU rRNA". It matches the Rfam family "Bacterial small subunit ribosomal RNA", at positions 65 to 847 of the family's 1533-position model. The record is from RNAcentral. Lineage: Bacteria; Pseudomonadati; Bacteroidota.